AAAGUCCGGCACGGGGAAUUAUCGGUACACCCCGUUAGCGAAGAUCCGGUUUUGAGAGGCGACUCUCAGGGCUAAGUGGAUCGAGAAAACUUUCUUCGGAAAGGAUUGCGAACCCACAGGCCGUACUAUCAAGGAACCCAUAGAGCCUCGUGACUUGUUCAGUGAGAGUGCCGACCCUGUGGUCAAGUGGGGAAGGCCGCCGCCAUCUGUGGGGCUAACCGGGAAAAGCAGAUGGGCUCUCCGGGGUCGUCGGGAC
This is a non-coding RNA of Deltaproteobacteria bacterium, 256 nucleotides long. Lineage: Bacteria; Pseudomonadati; Myxococcota; Myxococcia. The record is from Rfam.